UUAGUAGGAUGUUAGCCUAAUUACGUCGCAUCCAUGCGACAACGGCUAACUGACCUGCAUCACGCAGG
This is a non-coding RNA of Lysinibacillus contaminans, 68 nucleotides long. Lineage: Bacteria; Bacillati; Bacillota; Bacilli; Caryophanales; Bacillaceae. The record is from Rfam.